UCUGCCAGUUUCUCCAGUGUGAGUUUCUACUUGAAAUCCUCCUGUUGCCCUGGCGCGGUGGCUCACGCCUGUAAUCCCAGGACUUUGGGAGCCCAAGGUGGGCGGAUCACAAAGUCAGGAGAUAGAAACCAUCCUGGCUAACACGGUGAAACCCCAUCUCUACCAAAAAAAAAAAAAACAAAAAAAAAUCAGCCGGGUGUGGUGGCAUGUGCCUGUAAUCCCAACUACUUAGGAGGCUGAAGCAGGAGAAUUGCUUAAACUCAGGAGGCGAGGGGGAGGUUGCAGUGAGCCGAGAUCAAGCCACUGCACUCCAGCCUGGGCGACAGAGCGAGACUCCAUCUCAAAAAAAAGAAAAGAAAAAAGAAAUUCUCCUGUCUCAGACCCAGAGUAGCUGGGACUACAGGUCACACCACUGUGCCCGGCUGUCUUCCCAGCCUUUUAUCUGGGCAUUUUAUCCACUUCUUAGAGUUUUCUGGCUCAUAGCUGGUACUCAAUAAAUGCUCAGAGAAGCCUCAUAACUUAGCGGUUACACACAGUUCUGGGUUUGAAACCUGUCUGCAUCUUACUAAUUGUGAGACCUUAGGGGAAUCACUUAACUUCUGUAAAAGGGGCCAGUAUAUUAUGCCCACCUCGUUGGGUUGUUGCAAAUAACAAAUAAUGAUGUGUGAAAGAUUUAACACGGUCCCUAAGAAAAGUAAACGUAGAAUUGCCAUAUGGGCCAGGCAUGGUGGCUCAAGCCUGUAAUCCCAACAUCUUGACAGGCUGAGGUGGGUGGAUUUCUUGGGCCCAGGAGUUCGAGACCAGCCUGGGCAACACAGUGAGACCCCUGCCUCUACAAAAAAUACAAAAAUUAGCCAGGCGUUGUGGCGUGUGCCUGUGGUUCCAGCUACUUGGGAGGCUGCGGUGGGAGGAUGGCUUGAGCCUGGGAGUUGGA
Molecule: long non-coding RNA, 934 nt
Filed under: Homo sapiens (human)
Lineage: Eukaryota; Metazoa; Chordata; Mammalia; Primates; Hominidae
Description: HSALNT0255391
Source: RNAcentral